CUUCCCAUGGGUAGGUGGAUUCAGUAACAAAUAAGAUGCAAAGUUCCAGAAGAAUCUGCAUGAAGAAAAUUGCACAUGAUUAUUCCAAGUAUUGCAACUGCCUGUUCCUCUCUCUGUUUGAAGCACUUGAAAGCUGCCAAUAUGAUGGUCUGAAUUCCCUAACUUGCCAGUGUUUCCUAAGAACAAAAGAAUUCUCCUUUAUAAUACUAAUAUACUCAAUAAAGUAAGCAAAUUCAUAUUAAUGCAUCACUCAUCUAACCUCCAU
This 265-nucleotide long non-coding RNA is filed under the name Fukomys damarensis (Damara mole-rat). Its description in RNAcentral is "lncRNA (ENSFDAG00000027156.1)". The record is from RNAcentral. Lineage: Eukaryota; Metazoa; Chordata; Mammalia; Rodentia; Bathyergidae.